This 21-nucleotide microRNA is filed under the name Ananas comosus (pineapple). RNAcentral describes it as "microRNA s0347_c18a". The record is from RNAcentral. Lineage: Eukaryota; Viridiplantae; Streptophyta; Magnoliopsida; Poales; Bromeliaceae.
AACUCCUGUGUCAAAAUUCGA